UCUCCUGGAAAACGGGUGGUAAUGCCGGAUGUUCCACAUGAUCGCAUGUGAUUGUGGGAAAGAUUCUAUCGGCGUGGGAUGGGGUCGCGUCCUAUCAGCUUGUUGGUGAGGUAACGGCUCACCAAGGCUUCGACGGGUAGCCGGCCUGAGAGGGCGACCGGCCACAUUGGGACUGAGAUACGGCCCAGACUCCUACGGGAGGCAGCAGUGGGGAAUAUUGCACAAUGGGCGCAAGCCUGAUGCAGCGACGCCGCGUGAGGGAUGGAGGCCUUCGGGUUGUAAACCUCUUUUGUUUGGGAGCAAGCCUUCGGGUGAGUGUACCUUUCGAAUAAGCGCCGGCUAACUACGUGCCAGCAGCCGCGGUAAUACGUAGGGCGCAAGCGUUAUCCGGAUUUAUUGGGCGUAAAGGGCUCGUAGGCGGCUCGUCGCGUCCGGUGUGAAAGUCCAUCGCUUAACGGUGGAUCUGCGCCGGGUACGGGCGGGCUGGAGUGCGGUAGGGGAGACUGGAAUUCCCGGUGUAACGGUGGAAUGUGUAGAUAUCGGGAAAGAACA
RNAcentral lists this ribosomal RNA (552 nucleotides) under Bifidobacterium bifidum. RNAcentral's name for it is "bacterial SSU rRNA". It matches the Rfam family "Bacterial small subunit ribosomal RNA", at positions 146 to 708 of the family's 1533-position model. Lineage: Bacteria; Bacillati; Actinomycetota; Actinomycetes; Bifidobacteriales; Bifidobacteriaceae. The record is from RNAcentral.